GCGACGGAACUGCCUCUACCGCAAGGGCCACCGACAGGGUGCGGGCUCUGGGUAGGAGGUAGACCUGGCAAAGGUGGAGUGGGGGUAGGCGCGGCGGCGCCGUUCUUGGGGGCAAGGGGUCGGGGAGGGGCUGCUCGAGGUCGAGCAGCGGCUGCAGGCGAGGGGCGUGUUGGUGUAGGCGCAGCGGCUGCAGAGGGGCGCGCGACGGCCGGUGGGGGAGCGGCCGCGCGCGGAGGAGGAGGAGCUGCCGGGCCCGUUGUAGGUGAGGCAGAGGAAGGGAGCAGCGGGGAUGACGGGGGAGUGAAGGUGGAUGAAGCUGCAGAAGCGGUGGGAGGGCGGAGAGGAGGGCGCGGGUAGGGAGCGGCAGGAGCCGAAGCCGCGCCCGAGGCGGCGCGCGCGGGAGGAGGUAAAGAUGGGCCUGUAUAGGCAGGUACCGACCCUUGAGCUGGGGAGGCAGUAGCGGCAGCGGGCCCUGAAGAAGUCGGAGCGCCUCGAGCUUUCCCUGGUGCGGCCGUCCGACCAGUAGGUGCAGCCGCUGCGCGACCUCCGGCUCCGGCACGGCCCCCCGAAGCCGCCGCACGACCACCUAGACAAGCGGUUGCCCUCGCACGACGGCCUCGAGGUUUUCCGCCUGUGAACCGCGGUCUAUCCGCGCUACCAUCGCGGCCCUCCCUCCUACUACCACUUGACGCCGCCCCCGACGCACCUCCGCCUCCUCCUCCCCUCUCUGCCGCUCCGUCACUUCCUACGCUGCGACGCCCGCUACCACCGUCGCAAGCCCCUCCCUUACCACCGCCACGACUCGCACCUACUUUCAACCCACCGCUACUGUCGCGGCCACCGCGCCCGUAACCUCCUCCGCCGCCGCACCUUCCGAUCCGACGGCGGCCUCGACCCGGUGAUAUAACUGUACACCUUCGGCGUGUUACCGUUACCACUACGUACUUAUCUACCCCUAAUACGUCACCAAGAGACACGUUCUUACGUCUCACUAAAGACGUCCCACGUCGUACCCAAAAGUCUCUUUCUAAGAAGACGGGCUCUCUCGGUGGUAGGUCUUCUGGCUGCGACCUUGAGACGUCGGCGACUUCUACUUCGCCGGAGCACUGCCACUCCUGCUUCCGCGAAGCCCCGGCGACUGCGGCUGCCGCUUGUCGCGUCCCUGGCGCGUAGGCGCGACGGGCGGCCGCGGCGGCUUCUUCGGCUCCGAGCACGACCCCACGUCGGACCUGCCCAAGUUCCAACACUCGUAGUACCUGAACGCAACGAAGGAAGCAACUGCUCGGUGGAACGAACGAACAAACAAACAGAAAAAUCAAUCUCUUCUCUCCCCCAAAACAAAACCACAAAAACACGAGAAGUUGAGAAGAAAAAUUGGCCUUAUUCGGACAUGUAAACGUUACUUAUCGACAC
This 1413-nucleotide ribosomal RNA is filed under the name Triticum aestivum (bread wheat). Its description in RNAcentral is "partial small subunit ribosomal RNA". Lineage: Eukaryota; Viridiplantae; Streptophyta; Magnoliopsida; Poales; Poaceae. The record is from RNAcentral.